UGCUUUUCUGAAAAACCUGAAAGGGAAAAUUAAUUGAAGUGGUGUGCGCCUGAGUGGAGGUUUUGGAGUGGAAUUUUAGGGUUUUUUGCAGAAGAAGAAAGCGAUGAGUGAAGAGGAGAGAGAGGAGGGGAUGAAGCCAUGGGAACAGCACUCUGCUGUUAUAAGCAUACCUCGCUUUGACUACAACGCACCCUCUUCGCUGCUCGAUCACUCUCAUUCCGGAUUCCUCGUCACCUGCACCAUCAAGAGGGAGAAAAGUGCCACAAAAGAAGCCAUGCCCAUCCUUGAAAAGUAUGUUGGGUCUUUCAGUAGUUGCAGCUCUGAAAGUUUGGAAAGCUCUGAUGCGAAUGCAACUACCAAGAGAAGGAAAAUAUGCACAGAGGAAAUAGAUGAGGAAUGUGUCAACAGUGCUGAAAACAAGACUGCUAGCAAUAAUUGUGGGGAAGAUGGUGGUGAACUUUCAAAAGAUGCCGGAGUCUCCUCUGCUAAUACAGAUGCAAUUGUAGAAAAUGGUCAUGUUCUUUCACUUGUUAAGCUGACAAGGAGUGGCUUGCUUCUCUUUGCCUUUCCUAGAAACAAUUCUGUUGAUACCGUUGAUGUUGUAUCACAAAUCAUUCGAUCUCUGGAAUCUGGAAGUGUAAAGCCACCACUUUGGUGCCAUCGCAUUUUCCCUAUCCAAGCUACUUGUAGAUUAGAUGAGAAGGAACUACAUGAAGUUGUUACAAAGCUUGUUGUUCGGUUUGUGAACAAUGAACAGAACAAAUUUGCACAACCUAUUAAGUUUGCAGUAGGGUACAACAGAAGAGGGAUUGAGGAGACGGAGAUGAAGAUUCCAAAGAGUACUCCAAGAGAUUGUAAUUCACAUGCUUUAUUAGACCGCAAAAAGUGCUUCAGUGUUGUGGCUGCUGCAGUUAAAGGUGCUGUAUCAGACUCAGUGGUGGACCUCAGAUCUCCAGAGCUUUCUGUACUUGUUGAGUUGCUACCGCUUUCUCGGGUACCAAAUGGGUCGAUGGUGGUAGCUGUCUCAGUUCUUCCCCAAAAUCUUAUUACUACUAAGCCACGUCUCUGCAUUAAGGCACUGCUUUCUGACACCAAAGUGGGGAAUAGAAAGAGUUAAAUAGUUCCUGUAUUUCAAGAAACUACCUCCAUUCUAUGACCUCUGGUUUCCUUCUUGAUUUUCAAAAGGAAAUGCCCAUGCAAAAUGGAACAGCUAAGCUAAUAAUGGGAGGAAGUAAAAGACAAAAGGGUUGAGACAAAUGAGGGGAAGCAAAAAAUGGUUCGUAGGGCCUUGAGCUAGGUAGGUAGUCUGCUUCUUCUGAUAUUUGCUGACUUAGCAUUUUGGCCUGGCAUGCAACCAUUUGAGCAGCACCUUUCAGGCCAGGGUACCCCCCUUGAUUUCUCCACACCACGACACGAACCUACCUAAUCGGGUUUUUGCAGAAGCUAAUCUGGAAGGCAAUAAUUCAGCAUGGUAUAAAAAUGCUCAAAACAGUAUUGGUGCUCUGGUAAAAGCUGAUUUUCAGUUUGGGCAGGACUUUUCAAUAUUUGAGCUUGCCCAAGAGUGAUACUUGUCCAUCAGAGAAUUCGAAGUUUGAUGGCUUUCAUCAAGCUCAAGUCCAAUGAUUGUUAUAUUGGGUUAGAAGGGAACAUCUAACGAGAAAUUAUUGAGAAGCCUAACUUUUAUUUGCUGAAUUAAAGGCAUGGCUAAUCAACCAGAUUGGCCGCCGACCAUCAUCCAUGUUAAUCACUUGGAAACAUGGUGCUUCCUGCCUCCUCUAUUGGUGUUAACUUUAAUCGAGUCUGGAAAAACAUAAAGCUACUGAUACUGGAUUUAGGUUCAUCAUGCCGGAGAUAUAUUGAGCAGUAAAACUUGCUGCUAUUAGAGGGAGAUUUCGUAGACGUUACUGCAAUAGUGAGCUAACCUGCCCUUGAAGCCAAUCCAUUUUGGAUUCUUCCUGGACAGUUGAUUGAAGUAGUGGAAUUUUUCAUACAGCUACAGUUGUCCAAAGAAGAGACAAUAGAAUUCUUGCAUUGGAAGAAGCUUCGGUUAGCCUCUGGAUCAUUGAUACCAGAAAAUCAUGUCUUGAAUAAUGUUUGAAGCCAUUCUGUGUCAAAGAAAGCCCUGUUUGGAAGUGAUUCUGGAUCCUUCAAAAUCAGUUUUUAUUUAUUUAUUUAUAAGUUCUUUUAGCUA
Molecule: RNA transcript, 2191 nt
Organism: Vitis riparia (riverbank grape)
Lineage: Eukaryota; Viridiplantae; Streptophyta; Magnoliopsida; Vitales; Vitaceae
Exons: 8
Source: RefSeq, a predicted model, not a curated record